Molecule: ribosomal RNA, 434 nt
Filed under: uncultured bacterium
Lineage: Bacteria
Description: bacterial SSU rRNA
Rfam family: Bacterial small subunit ribosomal RNA
Source: RNAcentral
UGCUUGCAUCUCUUGAGAGCGGCGGACGGGUGAGUAUGCCUAGGAAUCUGCCUAGUGGUGGGGGAUAACGUUCGGAAACGGACGCUAAUACCGCAUACGUCCUACGGGGAGAAAGCGGGGGAUCUUCGGACCUCGNGCCAUUAGAUGAGCCUAGGUCGGAUUAGCUAGUUGGUGAGGUAAUGGCUCACCAAGGCGACGAUCCGUAACUGGUCUGAGAGGAUGAUCAGUCACACUGGAACUGAGACACGGUCCAGACUCCUACGGGAGGCAGCAGUGGGGAAUAUUGGACAAUGGGCGAAAGCCUGAUCCAGCCAUGCCGCGUGUGUGAAGAAGGUCUUCGGAUUGUAAAGCACUUUAAGUUGGGAGGAAGGGUAGUAACCUAAUACGUUGCUACUUUGACGUUACCGACAGAAUAAGCACCGGCUAACUUCGUG